AAAAUUAAAAAGAAAACAUAUACAGAAUAAAAUUAUAUUUUUUAUUCUUAUAAAAAAAAUUAUAUUUUUUAUUUUAAAAAAAAAAAGCUCUUUCAUUGAGUUUUGUUUUGGAGAAGGUAGAAGAAGAUCGAUGAACAAUCCCACAAGCCUCAAUCCCUCUUCUUCUCUACACUAUACAGCUUUAAUCCAUCUUCUAGGAUUAGAGAGAAAGAGAUGGGUUGUUGUUGAAGAUGAAGAUCAUGGGUCACUAUGUUUGAAGAAGAUAAAGAUGAAAGAGGGUUUGAUGAACUUUGAAUAAUGAGAUGAAGAUUUAAGGGUUAAAUAUUUUUUGUUUUAUAAAAAUUAGUUUGUUU
This is a long non-coding RNA of Trifolium pratense (red clover), 353 nucleotides long. RefSeq lists it as uncharacterized. The record is from RefSeq and is a predicted model, not a curated record. The transcript has 2 exons. NCBI's taxonomy places the organism in Eukaryota, Viridiplantae, Streptophyta, Magnoliopsida, Fabales, Fabaceae.